This is a long non-coding RNA of Alligator sinensis (Chinese alligator), 464 nucleotides long. RefSeq lists it as uncharacterized. NCBI's taxonomy places the organism in Eukaryota, Metazoa, Chordata, Crocodylia, Alligatoridae. The transcript is spliced from 4 exons. The record is from RefSeq and is a predicted model, not a curated record.
AAAGAAGUGAUGCCAGAGUGAUGGUUAAAGGAUCCACGACAUUUGCACAAAUAAAAUACUCAAUCAAAUCUAAUGAUGGGCAAACCUUGAAAGAUUCUGUUGAAAACCAUUGGAAAAGUUGGGAAUAAAAGCCAUUCCUGCACCUGAUGUACAUUGGCAUUGUAACGAUCCUCAGAAGAAUUCUCCUUCCCUGCUGUGUAAACAGGAAAAGAAACAUAAGUUCCUAAAAAGAUAGGAUACCCUCAAUCGUGGAAGUUCCUAUCACUCUGCCAUCCCACUGUUCAUAAGCUGCUUACCUUGAAGUUUUUACCAUGUGUAGACCCAGACAUGCAGCCACCCAUACCUGGAACACUCAUGGAAGACAUCUGAUCUGUGGAGAAAAUCACUCAAUGGUAUUCUAAGGGGAGGAAUUUGCAAACCUAGUCUACCUUUGACACUGCAAUAAAAGCACACUUGAAAUGGCA